UGUCGGGGGAAAUGGGGUCGGGGUUAUGGGUGGGCAGGACUGGGGCCCGGUCCCGGCCUGGGUUCUGCCGUGUCAUGGGGCGCCCCAGGAACCCGAGUCUGGCCGGGCCUGGGGAUCUCUUGCCCUCCCUGGCCGCCCGCAGUGAUUCCCCAAGCUAGACGCGCGCCGGGUCCUACCGCUGAGUCACUGCGAGGUCCUGACUGGGUGCGGAAGUGAGAAGCUCCGCUUCGUGCUUGAGGAAGAAGGCUCGGGGGCCGGGACUCUGACCUUUAACCCGGAGAAGUCCAGGGGUCACCCCCUCCCCCGUUCAUCAUUUCGUGAGGACUCCCCUUUCUAGGGAAACAACCUCGUUUUCCGUUUCUUAGUCGUGGAAAUAGAGCAGCCUUUUCUUUGAGAUGUAGGAGGGCAUGCUGGGAUGUAUACUUUCUGCGAAAGCGCUAAGGCGUUCUCAGGAAUGCACAGAUAAGAGUGUGGAGUCUGGUUUUAUAGGAACUAGAAUUUAGAGUGGUUCUCAAGAGUUUCCUCAUCACGCUGAUUCCACUAGACCUAGGCUUUUCUGACUCUUUAAGAAGCUUGAAGCAAGUUAGUUUGUGUGUGUUAAGGCCAGAUCUGUUUUUCGAAAUUAAGGUUGUGAGAUUGUUGUAUUUAUUUAAAAAAAAAAAAACAACACUUCUCAGGGUUUGGAAAUGCUGAGUAAUAUUGAAUUGUACAUAUUUAUGCUGUAGACAUUUUUACUUUCAGUUUCUGCUUUGGUCAGUUAGGUUUUCACAUAACUAUGAAAGUUUUGUGUUUAUUUUUUAAGCCGGGAAAGGCAGAUUUUUCUUUCCUACGAGGUCCUUAGAAGCUCCAUUUUUUGUUAGAGUAUAUGUUGACCUUGUCAAAAGUUUUUAUCACCUGGAACUACCACUUUUUUAUCCUUUUACUGACUCAGAAUAUAUAUGUGAAGUUUUAAAACUGACAGCUUUUCCUACUGUCCUAUAAAAUGACUGUUAGUAUUUAUCUUCCCCAGCAUUAAAAAGAAUCAUCUUUGGGUGAUAGAAUUUUGAGUUGGGGUGUGUAUGAUAGAAAUUGUUAUUAUCAGAAAGCCUUUAUUAAGGUUUUGUGAUCCUUAGCUUUCUCAACGAUUGCUUUGUGUUACUCAUUUUUGUAUCUUCCCAAGAAUGCCUAAAAUACAGCUUUUUAAAAUUCACUUAGCUAAUAUACUUGAAUGCUUGCUGUGUACAAGGCACUGUUCUAGUUGCUGGCCAUACAGCAGUGAACAAUAUCAAGAUCCUUGCUCUCAUAUGGGAGACUGUCUUUUAAAGAACUAUUUACAAAAAUAACUGUAGUGUGAGUCAGAGUGUAUUCAUGUCAUUAGAGAAAUUCAAAUCAAGUACUAUAGAAGUUUUGUUGAGAGAGAUUGCACUCAAUAUUAGGGGAUCAUUGAAAACUUUGAAAAAGAACUGGUAUUUACCCUGAGUCUUGAGAAAGAGUAAGAUUUUAAUAAAUAUGGACUGUGAGAGUCAGUAGUUUUGAGGCCAAGAAUAUAGGAUGCACAAAGGAGGGACAAUGGGAAAGCACAGUGAAUGUUUGGGAAAAUUCUGUUCUGUAUGGCACAUGUGAUGCAUGUAUGGGAAUGGUGAA
Long non-coding RNA from Mirounga angustirostris (Northern elephant seal), 1623 nucleotides. RefSeq lists it as uncharacterized. The record is from RefSeq and is a predicted model, not a curated record. The transcript is spliced from 2 exons. NCBI's taxonomy places the organism in Eukaryota, Metazoa, Chordata, Mammalia, Carnivora, Phocidae.